GUGCUCGCUUUGGCAGCACAUAUAGCAAAAUUGGAAUGGUACAGAGAAGAUUAGCAUGGCCCUGUGCAAGGAUGACUUGCAAAUUUGGGAAGCGUUCCAUUUAAAA
RNAcentral lists this small nuclear RNA (106 nucleotides) under Salvator merianae (Argentine black and white tegu). The record is from RNAcentral. Lineage: Eukaryota; Metazoa; Chordata; Lepidosauria; Squamata; Teiidae.